UGCAAAUCACUCCCGAAUAUCGCCGCAGUUUACGCACUGUACACUUUUGCGAUUUACAAACGUCUCCACAUGGGUGGUCUGUGUCUCGACCAUUUCCUGAAAGCGCGUUUGAUAUAAAUCCCUCAGACUCAUCCCGGGCCUCCUGGGAGCCGUCCAGGGCCAGCGCUAGGGGAGAGAGUGUUUCCAUGACUCUUAAUGAAGUUUGGCCACUUUUAGGCCGGUCUCUCCCCCAUCCCCACCCCCAACACCACCAAACAUCAAGAUCAAUGCUCUCCCGCCUGGAAUAAAGAGAUUAUCUCCAGCCGAACUCUCCCACCCUCCC
Molecule: long non-coding RNA, 322 nt
Organism: Sardina pilchardus (European sardine)
Lineage: Eukaryota; Metazoa; Chordata; Actinopteri; Clupeiformes; Clupeidae
Exons: 3
Source: RefSeq, a predicted model, not a curated record